GACGUAGGGCGCGAGCGUUGUCCGGAUUUAUUGGGCGUAAAGAGCUCGUAGGCGGCUUGUCGCGUCGUCCGUGAAAACCUGCGGCUCAACUGCAGGCUGGCGGUCGAUACGGGCAGGCUGGAGUUCGGAAGGGGAGACUGGAAUUCCUGGUGUAGCGGUGAAAUGCGCAGAUAUCAGGAAGAACACCCGUGGCGAAAGCGGCUCUCUGGAACGGUACUGACGCUGAGACGCGAAAGCGUGGGGAGCGAACAGG
This 253-nucleotide ribosomal RNA is filed under the name uncultured bacterium. Its description in RNAcentral is "partial 16S ribosomal RNA". It matches the Rfam family "Bacterial small subunit ribosomal RNA", at positions 524 to 776 of the family's 1533-position model. The record is from RNAcentral.